GUGUAGCCAAGUGGAUUAAGGCAGUGGAUUGUGAAUCCACCACGCGCGGGUUCAAUUCUAUCACAGGCA
Molecule: transfer RNA, 69 nt
Filed under: Actinidia valvata
Lineage: Eukaryota; Viridiplantae; Streptophyta; Magnoliopsida; Ericales; Actinidiaceae
Description: tRNA-His
Rfam family: tRNA
About the family: Transfer RNA (tRNA) molecules are approximately 80 nucleotides in length.
Source: RNAcentral